RNAcentral lists this ribosomal RNA (473 nucleotides) under uncultured bacterium. Its description in RNAcentral is "partial 16S ribosomal RNA". It matches the Rfam family "Bacterial small subunit ribosomal RNA", at positions 28 to 507 of the family's 1533-position model. The record is from RNAcentral.
GAUGAACGCUAGCGGCAGGCCUAAUACAUGCAAGUCGAACGGGUGGUCGCAAGACCCCUAGUGGCGCACGGGUGCGUAACGCGUAACCAACCUGCCCCGAUCUGGGGGAUAGCCCGCCGAAAGGCGGAUUAAUACCGCAUAUACCCGCAGCCUGGCAUCAGGCAACGGGGAAAGAUUUAUUGGAUCGGGAUGGGGUUGCGUGACAUUAGCUAGUUGGCGGGGUAAGGGCCCACCAAGGCGACGAUGUCUAGGGGACCUGAGAGGGUGAUCCCCCACACUGGCACUGGGAUACGGGCCAGACUCCUACGGGAGGCAGCAGUAGGGAAUAUGGGGCAAUGGGCGAGAGCCUGACCCAGCCAGGCCGCGUGCCGGAUGAAGGCCUUCUGGGUUGUAAGCGGCUUUUCUCAGGGAAGAAAAAGACCUUGCGAGGUACACUGACGGUACCUGAGGAAUAAGCACCGGCUAACUCCGUG